Molecule: small nuclear RNA, 158 nt
Organism: Impatiens glandulifera
Lineage: Eukaryota; Viridiplantae; Streptophyta; Magnoliopsida; Ericales; Balsaminaceae
Product: U1 spliceosomal RNA
Exons: 1
Source: RefSeq, a predicted model, not a curated record
UUAGUUACCUGGACAGGGUCAAUGGGUGAUCAUUAAGGCCCAUUUGCCUAGAUUUGUGACCUACAUUGCACUUUGUAUGCAUGUCUAAGGUCAGCUAAAAUUUGUUGAUCCUAUGUCAUAAUUUAAGUCAGUGGGGGCCUGCGUUCGCGCGACCCAUU